Non-coding RNA from Nicotiana tabacum (common tobacco), 4730 nucleotides. NCBI's taxonomy places the organism in Eukaryota, Viridiplantae, Streptophyta, Magnoliopsida, Solanales, Solanaceae. The record is from RefSeq and is a predicted model, not a curated record.
CCCCACUUCUGCAAUUACACUUUGUUUGUUGUUGUUGUUGUUGUUGCUGUUGUUGUUGUUGUACGGAAACCUAUCACUGGACUCGGCUUGCCACAGUCUCCGGCCUGCCACAGCUCCGCCUAUCUUCUUCCCAAAUCCCUGGUAACUUUCUCUUCUUCUUCAGGCAAGUUACGGUGAAAGGUGUAAUUGAUCCAGAAAAUUUCGGCGCUCUUCGAGUAUUCCGUGACUGCCUGCCUAUCUUUUGUCUUCGUUUUUUGCACAAUAAUUGCAACUAUUCAAUGUUGCUCAAGUUACUUCCCUCAUACGAAUUUACCAAUUUAUGCUUUAUUAUUAGUGUAUUAUAAUUUACUUUUUUCCCGUCUUCAACUUCUCUUUUCGUGUAGGUUUCAAGAUUGCUGCAAAAAUUAUUCUUCUCCUUCACAUUUUUGUCUUUAUCGCAAAUAUUCUGCUCACCCAGGUACAAUUUAUGAUUCUUGAUAUCCAACUAUGGCAUUUUGGAAUUUGUAAAAGAAUAGUUUUUUUUUGUGUUUGCUAAAUCGUUUGUGAUAUCUUGCUGUUAUUAGAUUGAUAGUCGAUUGAUUGAAUUGAUUCCCCCGCUAUUCCUCUAUUAUUUUAUGAAUUAGGGAAUUUUCCGCGGGAAAUAAAUCACAGCAAUGUAUACAUAGAAUUAAAUUUUUUGAAAAUUUAGUUGAGAUAGAAUAGAUAAUUUUUAAAGUAUAUAUGCAUAAGCAAGUUUGAGUACUAUCUCUGUUGGGUACAGAAUGGUACUCUAAAAAAAGAAAACACAAAGCAAACAAUAUUAUCUAAGCUUAUUUUCCAUUAAACCAUCCACUUAAGACUCCAAAAAACUCUCAAUAAAGGCAAACAUGUGAGUUGCAAUUUAAGUAUAAAUAGAUAUAGUUGUUCAAAAAAUCUGUCAAUAGAGGCAAACAGCUAAGUUACUUGUUUCAUUAAAUGGAAAAGUUCACCAUUGAUUGAAAUUGUUUCACAUUCCAAAUUGGGGUUCUUAGAAUGGUAUUAUGAUUGAAGCUGUUUCAAACAUGCAAUAUGUAUGAUGAGUUCAUAAUUUGUACUUUUUAUAUCAAUGUUGCAUACAAGAAAUCUGAUUUCCUCACUUCUGGUGGUAAAUUGCAUAUCCCCUAUCACUGUUGUCAGAGUAUCUGAAACUUCUAUUGCGGCUGCAGUUCCAACUGCCUUUAUGCAGUAGGUUUGUGUAUCACAUUGUAUAGUUGCAGAUCUGAUGUAUCUAAGUGAGAUGUCAUUGCUACUGAUAAACUUGCUACUUGCGCAUAUUUAUGUUUACUUUGAUGUAUCACAUCUUUCGGAAUAGAAGGAUUUUGUUGAACAAGGCUGUAAGUUGUAAUGCUAAAACUUAUGAAUAUAGCAUCUGAAUACUUAGUUGGUCUCUUUUGAUCCUUGCACUAUUAGAAUGGCUAUUGGUGUGAAGGGAUUAUAGUUAAGAGGCCACGUGUGGGAUUCCACUAGGUGGUUGUUGUUGUUGUUGUUGUAUCAUUGUUAAUAUAUCAAUAAUAGUUUUUCCCGUGUAUUUUUUCUCACAUAACUGAUUGCAAAUUAAAAUCCCGAUAAGGUAAGCACUACAUGGUUAGAAUAAAAUGCUACUCAUAUUUCUUAAUCUUUGUUUAACUGGCUCAUAUUAUGAUAUUUUAGAAUGAAAUAUACGUUCGCAUUCCAUUCCAAAGCAAAGUUGUAAAGUAAAUCUUUACAUUCCAAAGCCCCUAAUCAUAGAUUACUAACACUAAUCCCAACAGAUAUCUAAAAAUAUACUUAUUUCAUAUUUAAAAAAAAAAGCUACCCUCUGUUGGAGAAUCACACGUGAUAGGUGGCUUGAGGGUAAAAAAGGAUUGUGGAGUCUGAGAUGGAGUCCUCAGAAAUAUGUAAAAGCUAGAGAACAGAUGAGCGAUCAAUGUAGUUUUUCUUUUUAAGGGAAAUAAUAUUAAGCAAUUGAAAAGAAAAAAGAGUUCUUGAUUUUUGAGACUUUAUUAUCCUAACUAAUGAAGCUUCUUUAGAGCCAUGAUUGUAUUUGUUUUCUUUUUCACAUGUUUUCUUGGAAUUCAGCAGAAUAUCUUUGCUGAUAUAGUUGGUGUUUAGUGUCAUUUUGGGUUCUUAUUUAGUUAAUUGUAAAAACAAAUAUCAUGAAGCAUUUAUGUGGAAUUGAAACCUUGACUUUUCAUACGACAAGGAAUGGAAAUGACACUGGAUUGGAACAACUCCAUUUGUCAAGGGGUGUCGUCCAAAUAUAAUUAUUCCCUAUUUCAUUUUGUAAUUAUUAUUUGCAUAUAUAUUUAUUAAAGUUCAGCAAGCAGUGUCACAUGUAGCAACGCGCAUCCAUCCAGAUUGUCAUUAUGUACUGUACUUUUCUUGCAAUAUGUUUUAGGAGGGUAGUUUUGGUGUUUCCUUGGUCAUGUAUAUAUAACUAAUAGAAUGUGAUCAUAUCAUCUUGCUAACUGGGUACAUAUGUUCAUCCUAUUUGUUCCUUCUCCUAUUUCCUUUUCUUUAAAAAAAAAUUAUAUUCAGGUGUUGUUAGACCUACCAAGUAUAUUGCAGUAUUGCUAUACAUAAUCUCAUCAAGAAGUGUUGUAACUACUGAUGAGUAGAAGGAUGGAGCAGUGUUUGGAUCCAUUGUUGCAGGCUCUAGGGUUGAAGUGCGCCGAAGUUGUGCCCAAGAAGUUGCUAGGAGGAAUGUAGAAGGAUUUUGGAUCGGUGGAUUUGGACUGGGGGAAAGCAUGGAGAGCGCAACCCCCUCCUUAGUGUUGUUAUGGUAUGGUUCUCUUAUGGUAUUUCAGGCUUCUGUUCUUUUUCUUUUGGACCUGGUUGUUGCUAUUGUCUGUUUAUUGCUUCAUUUUCACUUCUUUUGAGCCGAAGGUCUUUCGUAAACAACCUCUCUACCUUCAUUAGGUAGGGGUAAGGUCUACGUACACUUCACCCUCCCUAGACCCCACUUGUGGGAUUUUACUGGGGUUGUUGUUGUUGUUGUUGUUCUUUUUCUUUUGGCAGGAAAUACUUUUGCUUCUAAAGAAGUUCUGCUCUUGAAACGAAUGUGGAAGGCAAGGAUAGGCUGUUUUUGAACUUACCUAAUGGGCAUAAAGAUAGGAUUCUGAUCGUAAGAUGUCUUGAUAAGCAAUUUACUUUAGAUCUAUUCCCCGUGUACUAAUUUUUUGGUGAGUCAAAUGAAGAAAUCUGUUGUUUCCAGCUUCGGAACUUAGUGGAUAAUGGGCUCUCUCCUCUAAAAUUCUCCACUUAAAUACUAAACUUAGUUCCCUGGCAUAAUCCAAACUCUUCACAUGCGCCUACCACAUAUUUCGUGCUCUUCUACUUGGACCAAACCUUUGGGUGCUAUUCCCCUUAUACUUUAAGGAGCUCUGUUGACUACUUAGCACCUUAUGUAAUGUAAAGUGUAAACUGAUCUGAGUUUGACUCAAAUGCCGCAUGAGUCAAACUUUUAUCAGGUUUUUAGUUUGUUUGAAGGUUCAUAUCGAUAGCCUGCACCCACGUCAUCCCUCUCGAAUCGGGUGCAUAUAGCCAAAGUGAAGAUUCCAUAACAUGGGUUCUUAAUAUUAGUUGUGGAUCAUCUAUGGUCCUGCAUUUCUUGGAGUAGUUUGGUGCUGAUGCUUAUGUCAUGAGAGUGCAUUAAGCGGUUCAAGUGCCACAUUUGAUAUACAUGUAAUCUAGUUAUAGGUGGUUCUGUAUUGUGUAAAGAUUUUCUUUAUGAUCUCCUUCAGGUCCAUAAAUUGCCACUCAUCUUCAUUCAGUCUCUUCACUUGAAGGUCGAUGUUCAUGCUAACUUUUUAUUUUAACUAAUGUUAGUUUCGGAGAAAUGGGUUUCUGUUAGUUAUGCUUAUAAUGGUCCUAUAUUGGAUUUGGUACACUGUAAAUGGUUUCACUUGUUUGCAUACAGUGGAAGACUCAAGUUUUUGGUGGCCUAUGGUGUUACUGAUGACAGGAUAGUUUACCUGAAGAAAAACCACGUCUUAUAAGUGGCCUCGGACUACCAGAAGAGGUCUUGCAAGGUGUUGUUGCGGGUAUUGACCUAUUUGAUUCCACCUACACCUACCAUCUUACACUGGGAGGCUUUGCUCUCACCUUUCCGCUUGAAAGAAUAGAAACACAAAUUACAAAAUACCAACCAAAUAGUGAUUUAGGAAGUGAUGGCACAAAGAUAAAUUUGAAAGUAACCAUGUAUAGGUAAGUCUUAUUCAUACUUCAGACUUCUUACGAUAUUCAAUGUAAGUGAAAUUAGCAGCAUACUGGCGUAGCUACAAUUAUGCUCGAUUUAAUACCAAUAGAAAUGAUAGAAUGUAGUCUGACCAUUCACUUUCUGCAGAUGGUGCCGUGAAACAACACUGUUUCCGUGGUAAGUGUGUGUGCAAAGUAGAAGAAGAAGAUUUGCUUGCUUAUGCGUACAUCUACUGUGCUCAUAUAUUUCAUCUAUUAACAUAGUUAUUUUAUAAUUUCACGUCAUACACUAUGAUGAUCGAUAAUUUAGGGGGCCAAAGAUUUCAACAUGACGAAGAGUUGCAAAAAAUAUUUGAAGACUAUUAUUCGUUGGGAUUAGACAUAUAUAAUGACAUUAGCUAUUUAUUUCCAACAAUAUAAGUUUGUCUUAAGUUAGUGAUUAAUAUUUUGGAUUAGUACUUUCUUUUGUUUGUUAAGAUUUAAUGAGAUACAUUAUGUUUUUAUGAAUUAAUAUUAAUAUGUUAUGUUAUUUGGAA